Molecule: long non-coding RNA, 1317 nt
Organism: Gossypium raimondii (Peruvian cotton)
Lineage: Eukaryota; Viridiplantae; Streptophyta; Magnoliopsida; Malvales; Malvaceae
Exons: 3
Source: RefSeq, a predicted model, not a curated record
UUCAUCAUCCACGCACAGGCUUAUAUAUAUAUGUAUAUAUAAUAAGAUGGGUUUAUAAGCAUUACUUCCUAAGAGUAUCCUUUCUUAGCACUCUUAAUGGUUCAUUUCAACAAAACCAAAAGUCCUUGUUUGGAGCAGAGCAUCGUUGCGAGUGCUAAUCACCUAGCACGGUGCUUUCCCUGACCAGCCAAUGAGUUUUUUAUCUUGUAGGGACUAAAUUGAAGGCUAAAGGAAAUUUAGGAGCAAAAAUCAUGAAUUUGAAGAUAAAAUGAGACAGCAUGUGAAAUAGGAAAGAAGUGGUGCCAAAAAUACAAAUUGUGGAAGACUUGGGGCCAACAAUUCAAAGAAGAAAUUUUAUAAACAUAAGACUCUAUUUAAAUUUUAAUUAUAUGAGGAUUCUUGUUAAGAAUUAUUAUUUAGAGUUAAUUUCAGCUUUUAUCUUUAUUUAUCUUUAUUUAUCUUUUAGAAUUUAGAUAGGAAUAAAUUAGGUCUUCUGAGUACUAUAAAUAGGGGAUGGAGUGAUAUAAAUUUCACUCAUCUUUUCGGUAAAAAUUCUCUCUCCCAAAAAGCUCUAGCCUUUGUUCCUUUCAUUUAUUCAAUAAAAUUCUAUUUUUUAAGUUUAUUUCUUUUUCUCAAAAAGCAUGAGUCACUAAAUUCAUUUAGCCAAAGUUUGUUGAGAUUCCUCAAAAGGGUUGAUGAGGCUCAGAAUCUGCACUAAGCCUUUUCAACGAGUAUUCAUCGUUUCUCUGUACUACGGGAUUGACGCUUUUGUCCAUGUCCCUUCAAAAGUGAUCUUUUCAUCUUGUGCAAAGACGGCCGCUUUGUUUUUGGAAGGUUACACAAUCGAUUCGUUAGCUUAUUAUGUCAGUGGUUGUCGAGCUCAAGAGACAAAAUGGCGUGGCAUUCGCCAUUGAGAAGUGAUGAUCUAGUGUAAGACAGUCCCACAAAAGCGACGGUUGAUUAGAGUUAGGUUCUCCUAAAUUUUAAGUCUAAAAUCUAAGUGGAGUUGGUGGUUGUAGGUGUCCUCUUCCACUAUAAUUGGCUUAUUCUGUUCGAGAAUGAUCACCUAAAAGCCUAGGAUUGAACCAAAGGAGGAUCAAGAUAAAUGGAGGCACGCUGUUUUUCUUGGGCAUGACUUUACCUGGGAUCUUGAGGAACAAGAACUUGUACAAGUCCAAUCUCUGAGGAUUUGACCCUACUUCCCUUAUACUAUUCUUUUCGUUAAGGAUAGGAUAUUUUGUUGCUUUCAAUGACGCAUCAGUUAAGCUUGUCACUUUGUUCUCAAUUAAUCUCAUUAUUAAGUUCUUUAUGUUUCUA